CCGUAGGUGAACCUGCGGAGGGAUCAUAA
This 29-nucleotide ribosomal RNA is filed under the name Drechslera sp. DAOM126766. Its description in RNAcentral is "partial 18S ribosomal RNA". Lineage: Eukaryota; Fungi; Ascomycota; Dothideomycetes; Pleosporales; Pleosporaceae. The record is from RNAcentral.